GAUGAACGCUGGCGGCGUGCCUAAUACAUGCAAGUCGAGCGAACAGAUGAGGAGCUUGCUCCUCUGACGUUAGCGGCGGACGGGUGAGUAACACGUGGAUAACCUACCUAUAAGACUGGGAUAACUUCGGGAAACCGGAGCUAAUACCGGAUAAUAUAUUGAACCGCAUGGUUCAAUAGUGAAAGACGGUUUUGCUGUCACUUAUAGAUGGAUCCGCGCCGCAUUAGCUAGUUGGUAAGGUAACGGCUUACCAAGGCAACGAUGCGUAGCCGACCUGAGAGGGGGUGCGCCCCACUUGGACUUGGAACACGGCCCAGCCCCCUACGGGGGGCAGCAGGAGGGAAUUUUCCGCAAGGGGGGAAAGCCUGCCGGGGCAACCCCGGGGGGGUGAAGAAGGUUUUCGGUUCGUAAAACUCUUUUUUUAGGGAAAAAAAAAUUUGUAAGAAACUUUGCACGUUUGGACGGUACCAAAGCAGAAAGCCCCGGUAAACUACGG
RNAcentral lists this ribosomal RNA (496 nucleotides) under uncultured bacterium. RNAcentral's name for it is "partial 16S ribosomal RNA". It matches the Rfam family "Bacterial small subunit ribosomal RNA", at positions 28 to 506 of the family's 1533-position model. The record is from RNAcentral.